AGUGAACGCUGGCGGCGUGCUUAACACAUGCAAGUCGAACGAGAACGGAUUAUAGCUUGCUAUACUUGUCAGCUAAGUGGCACACGGGUGAGUAGUGUAUAGGUAAUAUGCCUCUUACUACGGGAGAACAAACGGAAAAGUUUGCUAAUACCUUAUACUCCUUAUUAACAGAAGUUAGUAAGGGAAUGAUUUAUUGGUAAGAGAUUAGCCUGUAUUGUAUCAGUUAGUUGGUGGGGUAAUGGCUUACCAAGACUAUGACACAUAACUGGUUUGGGAGGAUGAUCAAUCACACUGGAACUGAGACACGGUCCAGACUCCUACGGAGGGCAGCAGUUGGGAAUAUUGCACAAUGGACGAAAGUCUGAUGCAGCAACGCCGCGUGGAGGAUGACACAUUUCGGUUCGUAAACUCCUUUUAUAUGGGAAGAUAAUGACGGUAUUAUAUGAAUAAGCACCGGCUAACUCCGUGCCAGCAGCCGCGGUAA
This 484-nucleotide ribosomal RNA is filed under the name uncultured bacterium. RNAcentral describes it as "partial 16S ribosomal RNA". It matches the Rfam family "Bacterial small subunit ribosomal RNA", at positions 29 to 523 of the family's 1533-position model. The record is from RNAcentral.